Molecule: small nuclear RNA, 102 nt
Organism: Molossus molossus (Pallas's mastiff bat)
Lineage: Eukaryota; Metazoa; Chordata; Mammalia; Chiroptera; Molossidae
Source: RefSeq, a predicted model, not a curated record
GUGCUCACUUCUGCAGCACAUAGACUGAAAUUGGAACAGUACAGAGAAGCGUGGCCCCUGUGCAAGGAUGACACGCAAAUUCAUGAAGCAUUUCACAUUUUU